UUUCUGGAUCCUUUUCUCCCUGUUCCAUUUCCUGGGUGGCCAUGACCUGAGCCUCCAACUGGACCUUGGCAGCCCUCCUGUUGCUCCUCCUGCCUUGGGUGCAAUCGCUAGUUGUCCUGGGAUGCCAGAGGCGACUCCUCAACCCUGAGGGACCCUUGAUGGUGCUCCCUCACAGGACCUGUAUAAUGCCUCACUAUGAGGCUCCUCUGAGGGCCUGGGGUCCUCCUCCUCUCAGUUUUUACUUGUGUGGGAAAGACUUUAUUUGUCCUUCAAUUUUGAAGGAUAGCUUUACUUAGUUUAAUAUUCUUGGCUGGCAGUUUUUUUUAUUUCAGCACUGUAAUAUAUAUUAUCCCAUUCUCUCCUGACCUGUAAGUUUUUUUUUUUUUUUUUAAACAGGAAAUUCUCUUAUAAGUGACUUGAUGCUUUCCUUUUGCUGUUUUUAGAAUUCUCUCUGUGUUUGACUUUUGACAAUUUGAUUGUAAUGUGCCUUGCAGAAGACCUUUUUGGUUUGAAUCUUUUUUGGGAUUACUGAACAUCCUGUAUCUGGAUGUCUGUAUCUCUUGCAAGACUUAAGAAAUGUUUGACUGUUAUUUUGCUAAAUAGGUUUUCUGUGCCUCUUCCCUUCUCUUUCCUGAAACACCGAGAAUUUAUUUGGUCUGACUGGGUUAUUUCAAAAGACCUGUCUUCAAGUUCAGAAAAUCUUAGUUUUGCUUUAUCUAGCGUACUUUUGAAGCUCUCAGUUGCAUUUUUAAAUUUUAUUCAUUGAAUUUUUCAGUUCCAGGAUUUGUUUGGUUAUUUUUCUAUAUCUAUCUCUACUGACUGUCUUAUUCAGAUCAUGAAUUGUUUUCCUACUUUGUAUUAUCUGUGUUCUCUUGCAACUUGCUGAGUUUCCCUAAGAUCAUUAUUUUGAAUUCCUUUUCUGGCAUUUUUAUAGAUUUCCUUUUCUUUUGAAUCUGUUACUGGAGAAUUAUUGUGUCUCUUUGGAGGUAUCAAAUUUCCUUGCUUUUUCAUGUUUCUUGUGUCCUUACAUUGAUAUCUAUUCAGCUAGUGGAAGAGUUGCUUCUUCCAAUUUUAUGGAUUGGCUUUCAUAAGGAAAGACUUUUUUGUAGGCAUAUCUGUAGUUUUGGUUGUGAUUAGGAUGUUUUGGCUUUGAUUCUGGUGAGCACAGGAGUGUAGGCUCAAUGAUUUCUUCAGCUGUAACCAAUGUAACUGGUGUCAUGUAACCAUGUCACUGUGAGUCCUCAGUGGCUUAAGUUGCCAUUGUUAGCUGAGGCUGUUGUGAGGCUUUUCUGGGGAAAGGGAUGCCAGAGGGGCCAGUCCCUGGGCCUUUUGGUGGCAUGGGCAGGCCUGUUCAGGCCUUGGGAUUGUGUGCGUGGGCACCAGUGGUGUUGGAUGGGGUGGGCCAGUCGUCAGGCCCCCCUACAGAGCAUAUAGGCACCAGUAGUGGCAUGAGGGAAAGAUAGCGCUGGAGAACACUGGUGACAGUGGGUGGAGCAG
RNAcentral lists this long non-coding RNA (1497 nucleotides) under Homo sapiens (human). RNAcentral's name for it is "HSALNT0136182". The record is from RNAcentral. Lineage: Eukaryota; Metazoa; Chordata; Mammalia; Primates; Hominidae.